AACGUAGGAGGCGAGCGUUAUCCGGAUUUACUGGGCGUAAAGGGCAAGUAGGCGGUGGCCAAAGUUGGGCGUGACAUCUCCCGGCUCAACUGGGAGGGGUCGUUCAAAACUAGGUCACUAGAGGGCAGGAGAGGGAAGCGGAAUUCCUAGUGUAGCGGUGGAAUGCUCAGAUAUUAGGAAGAACACCAGUGGCGAAGGCGGCUUCCUGGCCUGUACCUGACGCUGAGAGGCGAAAGCUAGGGUAGCAAACGGGCUUAGAUACCCCGGUAGUCCCUGAGCGGGCU
Molecule: ribosomal RNA, 284 nt
Filed under: uncultured prokaryote
Description: partial 16S ribosomal RNA
Rfam family: Bacterial small subunit ribosomal RNA
Source: RNAcentral